UAAAGGCAAUACGCAAUAUUGUUAACGAG
RNAcentral lists this small RNA (29 nucleotides) under Bombyx mori (domestic silkworm). RNAcentral describes it as "ovarian small RNA-18357". Lineage: Eukaryota; Metazoa; Arthropoda; Insecta; Lepidoptera; Bombycidae. The record is from RNAcentral.